This 101-nucleotide microRNA precursor is filed under the name Branchiostoma floridae (Florida lancelet). RNAcentral's name for it is "microRNA bfl-mir-92a precursor (bfl-mir-92a-1)". Its record names the gene bfl-mir-92a-1. Lineage: Eukaryota; Metazoa; Chordata; Leptocardii; Amphioxiformes; Branchiostomatidae. The record is from miRBase by way of RNAcentral.
CACAUAUUGUGCCCUGUCAGACAGGUCAGGAUUGGUGGCAAUGCUUAUAAACGUGUCAGUAUUGCACUUGUCCCGGCCUUUCUGAUUGGUUAAAAGUCUGC